CCCUACGGGGUGCAGCAGGCGCGAAAACUUCACAAUGCCCGCAAGGGUGAUGAGGGUAUCCGAAGUGCUUCCUUAGCCGGAAGCUUUUGUUAAGUCUAAAUAGCUAAGCGAAUAAGGGGAGGGCAAGGCUGGUGCCAGCCGCCGCGGUAAAACCAGCUCCCCGAGUGGUCGGGAUUUUUAUUGGGCCUAAAGCGUCCGUAGCCGGGCGUGCAAGUCAUUGGUUAAAUAUCGGGUCUUAAGCCCGAACCUGCUAGUGAUACUACACGCCUUGGGACCGGAAGAGGCAAAUGGUACGUUGAGGGUAGGGGUGAAAUCCUGUAAUCCCCAACGGACCACCGGUGGCGAAGGCGAUUUGCUGGGACGGAUCCGACGGUGAGGGACGAAACCCAGGGGAGCGAGCGGGAUUAGGUACCCCGGUAGUCCUGGGCGUAAACGAUGCGAACUAGGUGUUGGCGGAGCCACGAGCUCUGUCGGUGCCGAAGCGAAGGCGUUAAGUUCGCCGCCAGGGGAGUACGGCCGCAAGGCUGAAACUUAAAGGAAUUGGCGGGGGAGCAC
Molecule: ribosomal RNA, 555 nt
Filed under: uncultured archaeon
Lineage: Archaea
Description: bacterial SSU rRNA
Rfam family: Archaeal small subunit ribosomal RNA
Source: RNAcentral